Molecule: unclassified non-coding RNA, 304 nt
Filed under: Hevea brasiliensis (rubber tree)
Lineage: Eukaryota; Viridiplantae; Streptophyta; Magnoliopsida; Malpighiales; Euphorbiaceae
Source: RNAcentral
UAAGAAGGAAUGCAAUUUGCUAAGUAGCACUUUCGAUAGCUUAGCGAUAAGGGUAGAAAAGUUCGCAUAUGCUUGAUCUUUUUAAACGGCUCAAAUCUUUCACAGCGAUCAUACAAGCCAGGGAUGUAAGAAGAGUGUCGAGCUUUUUCUUUGUUACUUGCAGUCAAUUCAUCCUCCAAUCUAAAACAUGUAUCUCCCGCAACCACUUUUGCUACAUCAUUCACGAGGUCAUGCAUCAUGAAUCCGCCAUUGCUUGAAGAUUGAAAAAGUUAUCUAGAACAUAGAUCUUGAAAAUACUCUUCAC